AGUGAACGCUGGCGGUAGGCCUAACACAUGCAAGUCGAACGGCAGCACAGUAAGAGCUUGCUCUUACGGGUGGCGAGUGGCGGACGGGUGAGGAAUACAUCGGAAUCUACUUUUUCGUGGGGGAUAACGUAGGGAAACUUACGCUAAUACCGCAUACGACCUACGGGUGAAAGCAGGGGAUCUUCGGACCUUGCGCGAUUGAAUGAGCCGAUGUCGGAUUCGCUAGUUGGCGGGGUAAAGGCCCACCAAGGCGACGAUCCGUAGCUGGUCUGAGAGGAUGAUCAGCCACACUGUAACUUAGACACGGUCCAGACUCCUACGGGAGGCAGCAGUGGGGAAUAUUGGACAAUGGGCGCAAGCCUGAUCCAGCCAUACCGCGUGGGUGAAGAAGGCCUUCGGGUUGUAAAGCCCUUUUGUUGGGAAAGAAAAGCAGCAGGUUAAUACCCCGCUGUUCUGACGGUACCCAAAGAAUAAGCACCGGCUAACUUCGUG
This 492-nucleotide ribosomal RNA is filed under the name uncultured bacterium. RNAcentral's name for it is "partial 16S ribosomal RNA". It matches the Rfam family "Bacterial small subunit ribosomal RNA", at positions 29 to 507 of the family's 1533-position model. The record is from RNAcentral.